RNAcentral lists this unclassified non-coding RNA (529 nucleotides) under Avena sterilis. RNAcentral's name for it is "partial external transcribed spacer". Lineage: Eukaryota; Viridiplantae; Streptophyta; Magnoliopsida; Poales; Poaceae. The record is from RNAcentral.
GGAGAACUGAGACCCGUGUCUGUUGUUAUAUCCCCUGACUCCUCGUGCGGCAGAAGAGAGACGCCGUGUCCUGUCAUUUGUGUGGUAUAUGUUAGUGUCGCCUCUCAAGUGCUUGCGCGCAUGUACCACACAUACGAAAAGUGGUGUUUUGUACACGCUCGCCUCGGGGCGCACACCUCUGGGUGUUGCGGUGUGGCAUAAUGGCGCGUGCGGCGUUACCUCGGGGUAGUGGCAUGUUUUGUUCUCGGUGAUAACAAGAGAGCCUCGCUCUCGCUAUUGGUUUGGGAUGCCGCUCAAGAUAAUGGAUAAUGGCCCUUGUGGUUGCCGCUCAAGAAAAGGUUAAUACCCCUUGGGGUUGUCGAUUGUCCCGCCUCAAAAGAAGCUUUGGGUAUCUGAAGGGGGGUAGUGCGGUGUGUCGCAUGUAUUUCCCACAGUUUGGGGGGAGAAGCAACACGCUUGGAAACCUCUCUAGUAGGAAAAGGAAAGCUUAGUCCCGCUCAAGUGCGACAACCGACGCUAUUGACCUCAA